This 432-nucleotide ribosomal RNA is filed under the name uncultured bacterium. Its description in RNAcentral is "partial 16S ribosomal RNA". It matches the Rfam family "Bacterial small subunit ribosomal RNA", at positions 29 to 507 of the family's 1533-position model. The record is from RNAcentral.
AACGAACGCUGGCGGCAUGCCUAACACAUGCAAGUCGAACGAGACCUUCGGGUCUAGUGGCGCACGGGUGCGUAACGCGUGGGAACCUGCCCUUAGGUUCGGAAUAACUCCCCGAAAGGGGUGCUAAUACCGGAUAAUGUCUUCGGACCAAAGAUUAUCGCCUUUGGAUGGGCCCGCGUUGGAUUAGCUAGUUGGUAGGGUAAAAGCCUACCAAGGCGACGAUCCAUAGCUGGUCUGAGAGGAUGAUCAGCCACACUGGGACUGAGACACGGCCCAGACUCCUACGGGAGGCAGCAGUGGGGAAUAUUGGACAAUGGGCGAAAGCCUGAUCCGGCAAUGCCGCGUGAGUGAUGAAGGCCUUAGGGUUGUAAAGCUCUUUUACCCGGGAUGAUAAUGACAGUACCGGGAGAAUAAGCUCCGGCUAACUCCGUG